RNAcentral lists this ribosomal RNA (496 nucleotides) under uncultured bacterium. RNAcentral describes it as "partial 16S ribosomal RNA". It matches the Rfam family "Bacterial small subunit ribosomal RNA", at positions 29 to 507 of the family's 1533-position model. The record is from RNAcentral.
AUGAACGCUGGCGGCGUGCCUAAUACAUGCAAGUCGAUCGAACAGACGAGGAGCUUGCUCCUCUGACGUUAGCGGCGGACGGGUGAGUAACACGUGGAUAACCUACCUAUAAGACUGGGAUAACUUCGGUAAACCGGAGCUAAUACCGGAUAAUAUAUUGAACCGCAUGGUUCAAUAGUGAAAGACGGUUUUGCUGUCACUUAUAGAUGGAUCCGCGCCGCAUUAGCUAGUUGGUAAGGUAACGGCUUACCAAGGCAACGAUGCGUAGCCGACCUGAGAGGGUGAUCGGCCACACUGGAACUGAGACACGGUCCAGACUCCUACGGGAGGCAGCAGUAGGGAAUCUUCCGCAAUGGGCGAAAGCCUGACGGAGCAACGCCGCGUGAGUGAUGAAGGUCUUCGGAUCGUAAAACUCUGUUAUUAGGGAAGAACAAAUGUGUAAGUAACUAUGCACGUCUUGACGGUACCUAAUCAGAAAGCCACGGCUAACUACGUG